This 637-nucleotide ribosomal RNA is filed under the name uncultured crenarchaeote. RNAcentral's name for it is "bacterial SSU rRNA". It matches the Rfam family "Archaeal small subunit ribosomal RNA", at positions 171 to 789 of the family's 1478-position model. The record is from RNAcentral. Lineage: Archaea; Thermoproteati; Thermoproteota.
UGGAAUGGUUUUUCACUCAAAGGGCUUUAGAAGCAUGCUUUCUAAUGUCGCCUGANGAUGGGGCCGCGUCCGAUCAGGUUGUUGGUGAGGUAACGGCUCACCAAGCCUAUAACCGGUACGGGCCGUGAGAGCGGUAGCCCGGAGAUGGGUACUGAGACAAGGACCCAGGCCCUACGGGGCGCAGCAGUCGCGAAAACUCCGCAAUGCACGAAAGUGUGACGGGGCUACCCCGAGUGCUCUCCGCUGAGGAAAGCUUUUCCCUGGUGUAACAAGCCGGGGGAAUAAGGAGAGGGCAAGACUGGUGUCAGCCGCCGCGGUAAUACCAGCUCUCCGAGUGGUAGGGAUGUUUAUUGGGCUUAAAGCGUCCGUAGCCGGCUUAGCAAGUCUCCUGUUAAAUUCAGCGACCUAAUCGUUGAGCCGCGGGAGAUACUACUAGGCUAGGAGGCGGGAGAGGUCAACGGUACUUCCGGGGGUAGGGGUGAAAUCCUAUAAUCCCGGGAGGACCACCAGUGGCGAAGGCUGUUGACUAGAACGCGCUCGACGGUUGAGGGACGAAAGCUGGGGGAGCAAACCNGAUUAGAUACCCGGGUAGUCCCAGCUGUAAACGAUGCGAGCUAGGUGUUGGGGUGGCUACGUG